AUUGAACGCUGGCGGAAUGCUUUACACAUGCAAGUCGAGCGGCAGCGCGGGGCAACCUGGCGGCGAGCGGCGAACGGGUGAGUAAUGCAUCGGAACAUGUCCAUGUCGUGGGGAUAGCCCGGCGAAAGCCGGAUUAAUACCGCAUACGCCCGAGAGGGGAAAGUAGGGGACCGCGAAGGCCUCACGCGAUUGGGUUGGCCGAUGUCCGAUUAGCUAGUUGGCGGGGUAAUGGCCCACCAAGGCGAUGAUCGGUAGCUGGUCUGAGAGGAUGAUCAGCCACACUGGGACUGAGACACGGCCCAGGACUCCUACGGGAGCAGCAGUGGGAAUUUGGACAAUGGGGGCAACCCUGAUCCAGCCAUUCCGCGUGAGUGAAGAAGGCCU
RNAcentral lists this ribosomal RNA (384 nucleotides) under uncultured bacterium. Its description in RNAcentral is "bacterial SSU rRNA". It matches the Rfam family "Bacterial small subunit ribosomal RNA", at positions 29 to 417 of the family's 1533-position model. The record is from RNAcentral.